UACAGAGGUCUCAAGCGUUGUUCGGAUUCAUUGGGCGUAAAGGGCGCGUAGGUGGCGGGGCAAGUCAGGUGUGAAAUCUCGGGGCUCAACCCCGAAACUGCACUUGAUACUGCCUUGCUAGAGUACUGGAGAGGAGAUUGGAAUUUACGGUGUAGCAGUGAAAUGCGUAGAUAUCGUAAGGAAGACCAGUGGCGAAGGCGAAUCUCUGGACAGUUACUGGCACUGAGGCUCGAAGGCCAGGGGAGCAAACGGG
RNAcentral lists this ribosomal RNA (253 nucleotides) under uncultured bacterium. RNAcentral describes it as "partial 16S ribosomal RNA". It matches the Rfam family "Bacterial small subunit ribosomal RNA", at positions 524 to 776 of the family's 1533-position model. The record is from RNAcentral.